UACGUAGGGUGCAAGCGUUGUCCGGAAUUAUUGGGCGUAAAGAGCUCGUAGGCGGUUUGUCGCGUCUGCUGUGAAAACUCGGGGCUUAACUCUGGGCCUGCAGUGGGUACGGGCAGACUAGAGUGCGGUAGGGGAGACUGGAAUUCCUGGUGUAGCGGUGAAAUGCGCAGAUAUCAGGAGGAACACCAAUGGCGAAGGCAGCUCGCUGGAACGGUACUGACGCUGAGGCGCGAAAGCGUGGGGAGCAAACAGG
This 253-nucleotide ribosomal RNA is filed under the name uncultured bacterium. Its description in RNAcentral is "partial 16S ribosomal RNA". It matches the Rfam family "Bacterial small subunit ribosomal RNA", at positions 524 to 776 of the family's 1533-position model. The record is from RNAcentral.